UGGCUCAGUGGUUAAGAGCACUGGCUGUUAUUCCAGAGGACCUGAGUUCAAUUCCCAG
RNAcentral lists this transfer RNA (58 nucleotides) under Rattus norvegicus (Norway rat). It matches the Rfam family "tRNA", at positions 8 to 63 of the family's 71-position model. From Rfam's summary of the family: Transfer RNA (tRNA) molecules are approximately 80 nucleotides in length. Their secondary structure includes four short double-helical elements and three loops (D, anti-codon, and T loops). The record is from Rfam by way of RNAcentral. Lineage: Eukaryota; Metazoa; Chordata; Mammalia; Rodentia; Muridae.